GACGAACGCUGGCGGCGUGCUUAACACAUGCAAGUCGAACGGAAAGGCCCUGCUUUUGUGGGGUGCUCGAGUGGCGAACGGGUGAGUAACACGUGAGUAACCUGCCCUUGACUUUGGGAUAACUUCAGGAAACUGGGGCUAAUACCGGAUAGGAGCUCCUGCUGCAUGGUGGGGGUUGGAAAGUUUCGGCGGUUGGGGAUGGACUCGCGGCUUAUCAGCUUGUUGGUGGGGUAGUGGCUUACCAAGGCUUUGAGGGGUAGCCGGCCUGAGAGGGUGACCGGCCACAUUGGGACUGAGAGACGGCCCAGACUCCAACGGGAGGCAGCAGUGGGGAAUAUUGCACAAUGGGCGGAAGCCUGAUGCAGAAACGCCGCGUGCGGGAUGACGGCCUUCGGGUUGUAAACCGCUUUCGCCUGUGACGAAGCGUGAGUGACGGUAAUGGGUAAAGAAGCACCGGCUAACUACGUG
RNAcentral lists this ribosomal RNA (468 nucleotides) under uncultured bacterium. RNAcentral's name for it is "partial 16S ribosomal RNA". It matches the Rfam family "Bacterial small subunit ribosomal RNA", at positions 28 to 507 of the family's 1533-position model. The record is from RNAcentral.